This 4333-nucleotide long non-coding RNA is filed under the name Sus scrofa (pig). Its description in RNAcentral is "lncRNA (ENSSSCG00015031128.1)". Lineage: Eukaryota; Metazoa; Chordata; Mammalia; Artiodactyla; Suidae. The record is from RNAcentral.
GCGCAUGCGCGGCGGGGCCGCGCUGGCCGGCCUCGGGGCCGGGUCUCUGGCGAUUCAGGCCUUUUGCUAAGCGUCGUGACGUGCACGUGACCCCAUUGACUAGCCUUUCCCGCAUGAAUUCUUGACAACUUUCAAGAUCCAGAUGGGAAGAGGGCAGUGCUAUAGGAGGGGAGACCACUGGUGACAUGCCAGGCACCCCCUGGCCCGGACUGACACAUAAAAUCAACCACCACUAUAGCCAGGCCAGCCUCAGGAUAAGUGUCUUUCCCAGUUUCAUAUAUAGAAGACGAAUUAAAUAUGAACUGAAUGACGGAUUUUGUGGAGACUGUCCAGGCGGAUCCAAAACCAAGCAGAAGCGCUCAGAAGCACCCUUGUCAGAACACUGGGAGAGAGAGACGUUGACAGCCACCAACCGAAUGCUGAACGAAGGCGGAGGAAACUGGAAAAUGAAUGCUAUGGUGAAUGCCACCGAGUCCAUGGGGACAGUAAUGAGAAAAUGAAGAUGGAUGCUUCUUGGAGCUCAGCUAACGGUGGAGGAAGAACUUUGGACAGACUUCUACGCUUCCCACCCUCUGACACCUGUAGAAAAUCGUCAUUCUAGUCCAGAGUUAUUGGUUUCCCCCUGGACUCCUGCAAACUCUACCUGGAAGAAGAAUCUGUUCUCCAUCUCUGAGGCAGUGGUUCUCACACAUGCUCAUCACAAGAGUCCCUCAAAGGGGCAGAGUCCCAGCUGGAAUCAGGAAAUGUGAUCACAGAAGCCAGGUCAGAGUGAUGUGCCUGUUGGCUUCAAAGACGGAGGAAAGGGGCCAUGAGCCAAAGGAUGUGAGCAGCCUCUAGAAGCUGGACAAGGCAAAGAUUCUCUGCCAGAGACUCUGAAAGGAACAGAGCUCCGCCGACAUCUGCGUUAGCCCAGUGAGACUCUUUUUGGACAUCUGGACUAGAGAAUGGAGCCGAUGCCUUCAUCUCUGUAACUAAGACCUGACACGUCCAUGGGGUCCAGCGGGAGGACAGGUGAACUGCUUUGGCUAUUGUGCGUGCUGUGGCUGGAGCCCGCUCAGUGGCCGUGGCCCUCGGAAGCCCAUGGUGAAGGCCGAUGGAAAAGGUCUGAGGUCCUUGGAGUUCCUGUCAUGGCGCAGCAGAAACGAAUCCGACGAGGAACCAUGAGGUUGCGGGUUGGAUCCCUGGCCUCCCUCGCAGCGCAAGUAGCAGAAGAAAAUACUUUCUUUUUCUCAUGUUUUUGUCUCCCGAUGUCGAUGCUACUAACAGAAAGAGAAAACAUCUCCCAGUGUGUUGGGCAGAACAACAUCCCCUUAGAAAUGUCCACUCCCUGAAACCUGGAACCUGUGAAUAUGCUAUAUCUCAGAUGGCCCGAGGGACCCUGUUGGUGCAAUUUGGGUUGUGUACUUAAAAUGGAGAUCAUCUGAGGUUCGGCAGGUGGCCCAAGCAAGCAAAAGAAGAACUUUCUCCUGCUGGCGUCAGAGAGAUGCAGCUUCCGGAAAGGCAGGAGGGGCGGGGCUCUGGGGAGCCCACCAAGGUGCACUGUCGGAGGUCUCCAGGCACUGUUGCUGACUUUGAGGAUGGAAGAAGGGCCCCAUGAACCAAGGAGGGUCUCUAGGAUGACCCCUGCCUGAUAGGCAGCUGGGAAAGAGGGACCUCAGUUCUACAACCCCCCAGAAUUGGAUUCUGCCAACACCUUGAAUGAUCCUGGAAGUGGAUUCUUCCCAGAACCUCCUAAUAAGAGUCCAGCCAGGUGACGUCUUAAUUUUGAGCUUGGGAGACUUUGAGUAGAGGACGCCAUCAAGGCCACUCAGACCUCCAACCUACAGAACCAGAUACUAAAUUUUAAGCUACUCCUGUGUGAUCAUCUGUUAGAGCAGCCAUCAACUAAUAUUUCCACUCAGCACUUUCUUCUUUCCGUAAAGUGGCACAAGUGAAGUCAGCAGCCCACACACUUGGGGAAUUUGCAGUUCUCUUUGGAGCAGAAGACUGGCAAGUCUUCAUUUGGAGUGAGAAGUAGAGAGAAAAGGAUAUUCACCUGCCCACCUCUUCCCUGAAGCACUCUCAAAGAUGGUCCAUCAAGCAGAUCAAGGAUCAACGCAUUUUAAAAAGGAAUUCCUAAAAGUCCAUUUUGGGAAUCGUUAGAUAAUCCCAGGACAGAUGAAAUAGACAAUGUUAUGACUGUGAUUCCACGUUUUGAAGGAUAGCUACUGUUAAAAACACAGGUAGUACCUUGAGAGGUAAGCGUGGCUAUUUCAACUGAAUUGAAUUGCAGCCUGUGUUUAUCUGACAUCAAGGAAGAUUCUACUAGGAUGCAUUUCCAGUGUUUUCUCUGAACACAUCAGUCAUUUGGGGGAGAUAGAAAAAAAAAAAAAACAGGGAGGCUUUUAUAACACAGGGAUCAAAAGGGGAUAUGUUUUCUUUCUGUAUAUAAAGUAUAACUGAUGUAAUGAAGAUACCUACAGUCAUGCCAAGUAAAUGAACAGUUAGCCCCACAUGCGCAGAGUAGGUUACUAAGGGAAGAAUUACGUAGAGUUGAGAAAGUUAACUAACCCAAAAGAUUUCACUUUGCAAUAAUAUGGUUUUGAUUACACCCUUUUGAUGAUGCAGCCGGUGGAGACUCUGGCUCAUCCCUUAGGAGGGGCAGAAAUGAGUCCCCCAAGAAGUCACUUGUUAGGGAAAAGAAGCUACCAGUUAGAGUAACAAUUUGCUAGAUACCGUCUGCAAAGUAGCCAAACCAUUACUUGAAACACAGAGGAAAUCUUGGGUGGGGGUUGAGAAAGCAGCCUUGACUGAGUACAGACCCAGACCAUGAGUUCUUUCUUCCUCAUUCCCUUAUGAAAACAAGAAAGGACAACAGAACCAAAUCCAGGAGAGUAGAAAUUGUGACACUCAAGGCAUCUGGCGUGAAUGUGGUCUUUCCUAAGCUCUGUAUGGGCAGCCUUGCAGGCAGAAGCCCUUGGAGGCAGCUCUGCCUGAGGUUUACCUGACUUCACUGUGGGCAUAUUUCUUGGUACAACAUAUGCUGUACAUUUUUAGACCUUGUAUAUCCACAAGAAACAGAUGCUUCUUGAAAUUACAGACAUGGAGAUUUAUUUUGUUCAAGUCAACAAGGUGAAAUAAAAACAUAGAGCAUUUUGGGUGAAGUCUUUAAAAUUUUCCAUCACACCAUCUGCAUUCCCAUUCAGUCCCCAGAUUACUUGGGAAAACAGCAAGAUUUCACUUUCAGGCCAAAGUUACUCAAAAUCAAUUACUUAAACACUUCCCCAGUGGGGAUUAUCUGAACUUGCAAGAACAUGUGUGUCUUUUAAACUUACCAUUUCUUUUCUUCUUUAUAUUUAAAAACAUCUGAAAGAGCUCAAACGUUUAGAAAAGUACUGCGAAUAAGUUACUGAACAGCGUUGUAACUACUAUGCAGCUAUAUUAAAAUUCACCUUUUUUUGGUCAAAUUCGUCGUCAGAUCAUCCGACAUAAGAAUUGCUGCAGGGAUCGGAUUGGUCCCAGACAUUGAAUAGACACGUUCAUUUUAUAUUUUAAAAAAGUAUAAAAUUUAUAGGUUUGGGUUCGGCAAUAACUUGGUCUUCUCUGUGACUCCUUCUUUCUAGAGCAAUCACUAUGAGUUGGUUCUGUUUUCUAAGAAGAAAGGAAGGGAAGCUUUCCUGGAGAUUCCUAUAAUGUGGUCUCUUGGAAUUAGAUACUCAGUAUUCCAUCUUUGUCUCCUUGAUCCUCCCUACAUCAAACAUUAUCUUCUUUUACUGAAAAUGAAUCAUUCCUCUUCUCCCACACCCUCCUCCCCUCGUAAUGAGAUAGUCUCGGCUAAGACUGCUAAGAGCUGUAAUACAUCCCUGCCCAUCCUGACGCCAGCAAAGGCUCGCCCCUACUCUCCCUGGCUUUCCUUUGCUGUCUCCCCUUAACGAGCCCCUCCAUCAUCCUCUCCUCCCUGUAAUCGUCACCCACAAACAGAUCCUCGCUGUCAGCGGGCCCAUCAAUUCCCCAAGAGCGUCUCCCUUCCACUCCCGGGCCCCAUUUUUCUUCUUAUCGCCACCAUUUCUAAGCACGCUUUGAAUUCCUUGUUGCCAAAGAAUAUCCCAGAUAGACCCUUAAAAACAACUAAAGGAAGGAAGGCCUUUCUUGAAUGAGGCUCAAACGUCCUCUGAAAAAUACACACUACUGUUUGGGAGGGGUAGCUUGUUUCUGUCAAUGUCUGGCUGCCUUGGCCCACUGGGCCCGGAGAGAGCUAGCAUACUCUGUUACUGAGUACCUCUUUGGUGUAGGCAUUUUACAGAAGAGCAAAGCAGAUUCCUGACACUUCUAUGAAUUAUAAAAAAAAAAAAAA